CAAUAGCAUAUAUUAAAGUUGUUGCAGUUAAAAAGCUCGUAGUUGGAUUUCUGGUUUGAUGCCCUGGCCCGCUGCCAUUUUGGUAGUGUGUGCCGGUUGUGCGUCUGCCAUCCUUCUAGGGAACGUUCCUUCUCUUCACUGAGCCGGGUUCGUGAUCUAGAUCGUUUACUUUGAAAAAUUAGAGUGUUUAAAGCAGGCUUUUGCUAUGAAUACAUUAGCAUGGAAUAAUAAUAUAGGACUUUGGUUCUAUUUUGUUGGUUUCUAGGACUAAAGUAAUGAUUGAUAGGGAUAGUUGGGGGUGCUAGUAUUCAGCGGCCAGAGGUGAAAUUCUUGGAUUCGCUGAAGACUAACUUAUGCGAAAGCAUUCACCAAGGAUGUCUUCUUUAAUCAAGAACGAAAGUUGGGGGAUCGAAGACGAUUAGAUACCAU
RNAcentral lists this ribosomal RNA (429 nucleotides) under uncultured eukaryote. Its description in RNAcentral is "SSU rRNA". It matches the Rfam family "Eukaryotic small subunit ribosomal RNA", at positions 592 to 1018 of the family's 1831-position model. The record is from RNAcentral.